CCCUUAGAUGUCCUGGGCCGCACGCGUGCUACACUGACGCAUACAGCGAGUACUCCCGGCUCCGCAAUGGCAGCCGGUAAUCAUCAAUAUGCGUCGUGAUGGGGAUAGAUCUCUGGAAUUUUUGAUCUUGAACGAGGAAUGCCUAGUAAGCGCAGGUCAUCAGCCUGCGUUGAUUAAGUCCCUGCCCUUUGUACACACCGCCCGUCGCUCCUACCGAUUUCGAGUGGUCCGGUGAACCUUUCGGACCGGGAGCAGCCUCGUGCUGCGCCUGGAAAGUCAAGUAAACCACAUCACUUAGAGGAAGGAGAAGUCGUAACA
This 318-nucleotide ribosomal RNA is filed under the name uncultured eukaryote. Its description in RNAcentral is "partial 18S ribosomal RNA". It matches the Rfam family "Eukaryotic small subunit ribosomal RNA", at positions 1470 to 1796 of the family's 1831-position model. The record is from RNAcentral.